This 1392-nucleotide ribosomal RNA is filed under the name metagenome. RNAcentral's name for it is "bacterial LSU rRNA". It matches the Rfam family "Bacterial large subunit ribosomal RNA", at positions 696 to 1993 of the family's 2925-position model. The record is from RNAcentral.
CCAGUCGCAUGCCGUAGACCCGAAGCCGAGUGAGCUAUCCAUGGGCAGUGUGAAGCGGAGGUAAGACUCUGUGGAGGCGCGAACCGACUUCAGUUGAAAAUGGAGCGGAUGACCUGUGGAUGGGGGUGAAAGGCCAAUCAAACUCGGUGAUAGCUGGUUCUCCGCGAAAUGCAUUUAGGUGCAGCGUCGUGCGUUCAACGAUGGGGGUAGAGCACUGAAUGGGCUAGGGGUCCUACAAGACUACCGACCCCAAUCAAACUCCGAAUACCAUCGUUCCAGAGCACGGCAGUGAGACCUCGGGGGAUGAGCUUCGAGGUCGAGAGGGAAACAGCCCAGACCGCCGGCUAAGGUCCCAAAAUCUGAACUAAGUGGUAAACGAUGUGAGAUUGCGAAGACAGCCAGGAGGUUGGCUUGGAAGCAGCCAUCCUUGAAAGAGUGCGUAACAGCUCACUGGUCGAGUGAUCUUGCGCGGACAAUGUAACGGGGCUCAAGUUCAGUACCGAAGCCGCGGAUGCGACUCUUUGAGUCGUGUGGUAGCGGAGCGUCGAGCGUGCAGCGAAGCGGCGGGACAACCCAGCCGUGGAGCGCGUUCGAGUGCGAAUGUUGGCAUGAGUAGCGAAUGAGGGGUGAGAACCCCCUCCGCCGUAUGUCCAAGGGUUCCUGGGCGAGGCCAAUCCUCCCAGGGUGAGUCGGGAGCUAAGGCGAGGCCGAGAGGCGUAGUCGAUGCACAACUGGUUGAUAUUCCAGUACCACCAUGUUCGCGUCCGUCCCAAUACUCUGUUGCUAAGGGGCUGUGUUGACUUCGGUCAACGCGAACCGACCCACAUUGUUGCGGGAAGCUGUAGGGGGACGCAGGAAGGUAGAUGAACCCGGUGAAUGGUAGAACCGGGGUAAGCGUGUAGGAGGAGGACCAGGUAAAUCCGGGCCUCAUAAACUCUGAGACGUGAUACCGAGCCGCUUCAGGCGAAGUCAUUGAUCCUAUGCUGCCUAGAAAAGCCCAGCAGCGAGUUGACAUGGUGCCCGUACCCCAAACCAACACAGGUGGACAGGUAGAGCAUACCAAGGCGAGUGGGAUAACUAUGGUUAAGGAACUCGGCAAAUUGCCUCCGUAACUUCGGGAGAAGGAGGACCCCAGUAGCGUGAUGAGACUUGCUCUCUGAGCGUGAAGGGGUGGCACAAAAUUGAGGGAAGCGACUGUUUACCAAAAACACAGCAGCGUGCUAAGCCGUAAGGCGCUGUAUACGCUGUGACUCCUGCCCGGUGCUGGAAGGUUACGGGGAUGGGUUAGUCCUUCGGGACGAAGCUCUGAACCUAAGCCCCAGUAAACGGCGGCCGUAACUAUAACGGUCCUAAGGUAGCGAAAUUCCUUGUCGGGUAAGUUCCGACCUGCAC